Suricata suricatta (meerkat) is the source of this 1268-nucleotide long non-coding RNA. RefSeq lists it as uncharacterized. NCBI's taxonomy places the organism in Eukaryota, Metazoa, Chordata, Mammalia, Carnivora, Herpestidae. The record is from RefSeq and is a predicted model, not a curated record. The transcript has 3 exons.
CUUCCCCCGCCGCGCCGGGGCUGUCUGUGGGUACUUCUCUCUCUCUUCUCUUUUCUCUCGCUCCGUCUCUCUCAGUCCUUUGGAAUGGGUGGAUAGAAAGUGCUCGGACUCUCGCUCUCACUUAAGGGGCUGCUUGGAGGUGGCGAACGACGCCCCCUGCCACCUGCUACCCUUCUCAGCACCCCAAUCUUGCUCACGCGCGACGUCUGCCUGGGAUUCCGAUACCUGGACGGGCAGUGAGGUUGGGGGUGACCUGGUGGACCCCCUCGGCCCAUCAAGACAGAUGUCCUCGGGGUUGAGGGUGGCCGCCACCGGCAGGCAAGUCCGGGCGGCGCCCCCGGGACCAGGCGCGCUGGGCAAGGCGGCUCCUUCGCACGCUGGGCUGAGCCUGGAGCUCCGCGGCUUGGGCACUAGCGACGCCGCCGAGGUCCACCUUAGUGGGGUUGGGCGACGUCGCCCCUGCGACCGUGCUCUCGGGACUUGGGAGAGGAAAGAGAAAAGACAAGAACCGGAGGGAAGGAACCAUCGUUGUUCUAUAUCUGUUUUUUUAAAAGAGGCAACGAGUUCCCGGGAAGACUGGGUUAGCCGAGGCAAGCCGCAGAGUGCUGCCUAGAAGCGCACAGGUCAAUGCCAUGGCCAAGAUUUGUCGGGUGCCUCGAGUCACUACCACGUUAACACCGGGACAUAAAAUAACCACCAGCGUGGGGAGGUAUGCCCACCUUGCUCAUCUGUUGGCAAGAAGCAAAUGCAAAACAUAACAGGAUAACGCUCAGAACCACAGUUCUUUCAUUAGACAAAAGCCAAUUUUUACCUUCCCGCGACCGUCUGAACCUUUGGAACUUUUAUUUGCGGCAUUUUGGCGCCCUCUGGCUGUGCCCGGAUUGCUUUCCGGCUCGCCAACAACCCAGCAAAGCGAAGCAGGGAGCUGCGAGUUCUCUUUUAAGGUGGAUCUGCCCUCCCGACCUGUGCGUGGAUUGGGGCGGGGGGAUUUUCCCACCAAAAUCGAGGCUACAAAAUGCAACCAUAUUUUAAAAGGAAGGACGCCAAAGGCAAGUAAGUACAUCUGCAUUCGACGGGGGAAAGGAGGUUGGUACUGAGACUAAAUUUUCGCUUCUGAUCAGAACCCUGAUGAUGGUGAUGUUACUUCCUACCACCGGGACCUCCACCUGAAGUGACUCACAUCUCACACUAAAAGGUUAGAGAAACACAGCAAAGUAGAAAGGAAAAUUAAAUGAUGACUACUAUUACUGGAAGAAAUGCAAUUACUU